This 468-nucleotide ribosomal RNA is filed under the name uncultured bacterium. RNAcentral describes it as "partial 16S ribosomal RNA". It matches the Rfam family "Bacterial small subunit ribosomal RNA", at positions 28 to 507 of the family's 1533-position model. The record is from RNAcentral.
GACGAACGCUGGCGGCGUGCUUAACACAUGCAAGUCGAACGGAAAGGCCCUGCUUUUGUGGGGUGCUGGAGUGGCGAACGGGUGCGUGACACGUGAGUAACCUGCCCUUGACUUUGGGGUAACUUCAGGAAACUGGGGCUACUACCGGAUAGGAGCUCCUGCUGCAUGGUGGGGGUUGGAAAGUUUCGGCGGUUGGGGAUGGACUCGCGGCUUAUCAGCUUGUUGGUGGGGUAGUGGCUUACCAAGGCUUUGACGGGUAGCCGGCCUGAGAGGGUGACCGGGCACAUUGGUACUGAGGGACGGCCCAGACUCCUACGGGAGGCAGCGGUGGGAAAUAUUGCACAAUGGGCGGGAGCCUGAUGCAGCGACGUCGCGUGCGGGAUGACGGUCUUCGGGUUGUAAACCGCUUUCGCCUGUGACGAAGCGGGAGUGACGGUAAUGGGUAAAGAAGCACCGGCUAACUACGUG